UACGGAGGGUGCGAGCGUUGUCCGGAAUCAUUGGGCGUAAAGGGCGCGUAGGCGGCGACCCAAGUCAGAUGUGAAAGUCCUGGGCUUAACCUGGGGACUGCAUUUGAUACUGGGUUGCUUGAAUUCGGGAGAGGAUAGCGGAAUUCCCAGUGUAGAGGUGAAAUUCGUAGAUAUUGGGAAGAACACCGGUGGCGAAGGCGGCUAUCUGGACCGACAUUGACGCUGAGGCGCGAAAGCGUGGGGAGCUAACAGG
This 253-nucleotide ribosomal RNA is filed under the name uncultured bacterium. RNAcentral's name for it is "partial 16S ribosomal RNA". It matches the Rfam family "Bacterial small subunit ribosomal RNA", at positions 524 to 776 of the family's 1533-position model. The record is from RNAcentral.